RNAcentral lists this long non-coding RNA (525 nucleotides) under Rattus norvegicus (Norway rat). RNAcentral describes it as "long non-coding RNA NONRATT012847". Lineage: Eukaryota; Metazoa; Chordata; Mammalia; Rodentia; Muridae. The record is from RNAcentral.
CGAUCCUAAAGCAAUGAUUCUGCAUUCCUAACAGAAGGGAGGAAGGAAGGGCAUUCCAUUCCUUAUCCACUCCUGUUCCUAAGUUCUGUUUGCCUGUUCUAGCUUCUCAUGGGCAAGAGGCUAACAUGCCAGAGACUGCCUCCUUCGCUAGCAUGGAUGUUAAAAGAGCCGUCCCCACGUAACCUCGCCAUCCCCUCUCAGCAUAGAAAAACCACUGGGUGCAUUAAAAGGGCCAGCGGCUGUCUCUUUACCCACCCCAGGUUGUCAGGAUGUGUGUCUGAUAGAGCCUGUUGGCUGACUGCCAUUGACUCUCAUCUCUGGCUUGUAUAGACACGGAAUUAAAACCAUUUAUUUUGCCCUCCAGAGGCAGCCAGGUUUCCCUUCUAGUGCCUUCCAGCAUGCAGAUGUGCAGUUCACAUGGCUUGCCCCAUGGUUACUUUCCUGCUUUUCCUUUAAAGAGCUUAAAACAAAGCCCACUUCAGCAGGCGGAGUAGAGGACCGCCCCAGAUUCUCUUGACCCAAGAC